AUUGAACGCUAGCGGCAUGCUUAACACAUGCAAGUCGAACGGCAGCGCGGGGAGCUUGCUCCCUGGCGGCGAGUGGCGGACGGGUGAGUAAUGCGUAGGAAUCUACCUUACAGUGGGGGAUAACUCGGGGAAACUCGGGCUAAUACCGCAUAAUCUCUAUGGAGCAAAGCAGGGGACCUACGGGCCUUGUGCGUGAAGAUGAGCCUACGUCGGAUUAGCUAGUUGGUGGGGUAAAGGCCUACCAAGGCGACGAUCCGUAGCUGGUCUGAGAGGACGAUCAGCCACACUGGGACUGAGACACGGCCCAGACUCCUACGGGAGGCAGCAGUGGGGAAUAUUGGACAAUGGGGGAAACCCUGAUCCAGCAAUGCCGCGUGUGCGGAGAAGGCCUUCGGGUUGUAAAGCACUUUCAGCGGGGAAGAAAGAACCAAAAUUAAUACUUUUGGGUGUUGACGUUACCCGCAGAAGAAGCACUGGCUAACUCUGUGCCAGCAGCCGCCGUAA
This 504-nucleotide ribosomal RNA is filed under the name uncultured bacterium. Its description in RNAcentral is "partial 16S ribosomal RNA". It matches the Rfam family "Bacterial small subunit ribosomal RNA", at positions 30 to 523 of the family's 1533-position model. The record is from RNAcentral.